Molecule: ribosomal RNA, 480 nt
Filed under: uncultured bacterium
Lineage: Bacteria
Description: partial 16S ribosomal RNA
Rfam family: Bacterial small subunit ribosomal RNA
Source: RNAcentral
GACGAACGCUGGCGGCGUGCUUAACACAUGCAAGUCGAACGAUGAAGAAAAGAAUCGAAGCUUCGGCAGAAAUUCAUUUCGGAUUAGUGGCAGACGGGUGAGUAACGCGUGAGCAACCUACCUCUUACAAAGGGAUAGCCUCGGGAAACCGGGAUUAAUACCAUAUAACAUUGCGACGAAGCAUUUCGAUGCAAUCAAAGCUACGGCGGUAAGAGAUGGGCUCGCGUCCCAUUAACCGGAUGGUGAGGUAACGGCUCACCAUAGUGACGAUGGGUAACCGGCCUGAGAGGGUGAACGGUCACACUGGAACUGAGACACGGUCCAGACUCCUACGGGAAGCAGCAGUGGGGAAUAUUGCACAAUGGAGGGAACACUGAUGCAGCGACGCCGCGUGAGUGAUGAAGGAAUUCGUUUCGUAAAACUCUGUUCUAUGGGAAGAAAAGGACUGUACCAUAGGAGAAAGCUCCGGCUAAAUACGUG